Molecule: long non-coding RNA, 239 nt
Filed under: Homo sapiens (human)
Lineage: Eukaryota; Metazoa; Chordata; Mammalia; Primates; Hominidae
Description: HSALNT0222090
Source: RNAcentral
GAGAACACUUCACCUCAUUACCUGGAUGUGGAGUGUUGAAGCUGGAAGGGAUCCCAGAGAUCGGGAAACUCCCCAGGAGUUUGGAUGCUUCAUCUCUGCUGAGACCCAGUGCCUGGCACUGAAGGUGCUCAGGAAAUACCUUCUGAAUGAUCGGAAGCCCCUGCCAUCUGCUAAACUGGAUCUAUGAUGACAGAAGCCGAGGAAUGUGAGGUUCAUCUAGAGAGUUCUUGUGAAUUUUC